UACGAGGGGGGCGAGCGUUGUUCGGAAUUAUUGGGCGUAAAGGGCUCGUAGGCGGCCAACUAAGUCAGACGUGAAAUCCCUCGGCUUAACCGGGGAACUGCGUCUGAUACUGGAUGGCUUGAGUUUGGGAGAGGGAUGCGGAAUUCCAGGUGUAGCGGUGAAAUGCGUAGAUAUCUGGAGGAACACCGGUGGCGAAGGCGGCAUCCUGGACCAACACUGACGCUGAGGAGCGAAAGCCAGGGGAGCAAACGGG
This 253-nucleotide ribosomal RNA is filed under the name uncultured bacterium. RNAcentral describes it as "partial 16S ribosomal RNA". It matches the Rfam family "Bacterial small subunit ribosomal RNA", at positions 524 to 776 of the family's 1533-position model. The record is from RNAcentral.